UAGGAAAUUGCAUACCAUUAGCC
Molecule: non-coding RNA, 23 nt
Filed under: Arabidopsis thaliana (thale cress)
Lineage: Eukaryota; Viridiplantae; Streptophyta; Magnoliopsida; Brassicales; Brassicaceae
Source: RNAcentral